UUUAAACGAAUCAGAGAGUACAAUCAAUUAUGGCUUAGCGGCUGGGCAAGAAGUUGUGCUUUGAUAAUUCAACUGACAAACAAGUGAUCCGUUUGAAAUACUUCAAUCUCAAAUACAUUCAAUUUUUCGUAUAAAUAGAACCCAAUUGUUGCAUCAAUUACUUCAUCCUCAAAUUAAAAUAACUAAGCUUUGAAGAAGAAAAAAAAAUGAUGGGUUCUAAGGAAUUUCUAUUUCUUGGCCUUCUUUUGGCUAUUUUUGCGAUGAUAAGCUCAGAGAUAGUAGCGAGGGAGUUGACUGAGAACGCAAAGGACUUGGAUAACAAGAAUGUUGUACAAUACUCAUGUGGCGUAAACUUUGAUAG
Molecule: long non-coding RNA, 361 nt
Organism: Capsicum annuum
Lineage: Eukaryota; Viridiplantae; Streptophyta; Magnoliopsida; Solanales; Solanaceae
Exons: 2
Source: RefSeq, a predicted model, not a curated record